UUUUAUAUGUAUUUAAUUAAAAUUUUCAAUGUAAUAUGGUAUCACAAAAACAUCUCAGAUUGUAUAUAUUAUACAUUAUUAUAUUUCAAAGGAUAUCAAAAAAUUUUAAAACGUUCUGACAUAAAAUUCUAUUCUCCAGCAUUGUUUUAUUUUAAGACACAAACUGUAGACACCCAGAAUUCAGAUCAGAUGCAAAGUGUCAUUCCCCUACCUCAUCGAAAAUUAUGAAAGUGAUUUGAAUGGAGUGACACCUUAAAAAGAAAAUGAACGAUAAAAAUAUCUUACUCCCUGGCCCAGAGAAUCUUGUUCUCCAGAACAUAAAGAAAGAAUAAUAAAUGAUAGAAAAUAUAUGAUCAAACAAAGAGUUGCAUUACACGCAGAUGUUGCAAAAGACAUUAAAAAGAAAGAAAAAAGGAGAAAACAUAAGAUGUCAUCUUUCCCUGGGAAAAAGGUGAAAGAAAAAG
RNAcentral lists this long non-coding RNA (464 nucleotides) under Androctonus crassicauda. The record is from RNAcentral. Lineage: Eukaryota; Metazoa; Arthropoda; Arachnida; Scorpiones; Buthidae.